RNAcentral lists this ribosomal RNA (116 nucleotides) under Holosporales bacterium. The record is from RNAcentral. Lineage: Bacteria; Pseudomonadati; Pseudomonadota; Alphaproteobacteria; Holosporales.
CUAGGCAGUUACGGCGGAUGUGACACACGCGAUCCCAUCCCGAACUCGACAGUGAAACCAUCCAGCGCCGAUGAUACUUCUGCUUAAGCAGGAGGGAAAGUAGGUCGCUGCCUGGC